UAUUUUAAUAUUUCUUAUUAGCAUUCUCCUUAACAUCUGAGCCCCAGACUUCUAAUUUGAACUCAAAAUUUUCUACUCAAAUAUCACAUAAAACAACUAAUUUUCUAUAUAUAAACUUAAGCUUCCAAUUAACUACAAGAAAAUCACAUUAUAACGACAUCUUCUAGACAAUCCUUGUAGAAAAUGUCCUUACAAAAUAGCAAAUACCGGCAUUCAAAAAGUGUCAUCAUAUGAACAGUUUAUUCUGUCAAACUGAUUUACUGAAGAAUAAACUUUACUAUUAUUUUUAAUUCUCUACUUUUCAAAAAAUUCAGACAUUUUAAAAUAUAGAAAUAUAUUUUACCAAUAUUUGGCAUAAGCAUCGGUAUAUAAUUAAGUGGCAACUUCUCAUUUGUCGACACUUUCAAAUGUGACAGUAGACUAUUCUGCAACACUUUUAACCAUCCAUAAAUGCCGAAAAAGAUCCUUUUCUGCGUUUGGUUCGGGUAUAAGUAAGAACUGCUAGUUCUAGGGAUAGGUACAAGUUCAGGUAUAAGCAGGAACUAGACCAAUUUUACGUUUGGAUGAAAAUUGGGUUGUUUCUAGAAAUAAGGUAAAUAGUGUUUGGAUGAUUAGAGUGGAAAAAGAGGAAUAAGUGUUAUAAUUUGAAAUUAAAAUUAUAUUAUGUAAUUAAUUAACAUAAAAAUAUUACUUAAAAUAAAUAAAAAAUUAAUUAUAAAUAAUAAUUAAAUUAAUAAUAAUUAAUUAUAANCUAUU
Molecule: long non-coding RNA, 756 nt
Filed under: Ananas comosus (pineapple)
Lineage: Eukaryota; Viridiplantae; Streptophyta; Magnoliopsida; Poales; Bromeliaceae
Description: long non-coding RNA (ACOM_LNC013828)
Source: RNAcentral